AUGGGAAAAACAAAGAAUCAUAUCAACAUUGCCGUCAUUGGACAUGUAGAUUCAGGCAAGCCCACCAUCUGAUUGACAAAAGAACCAUCAAAAAAUUUGAGGGGGAGGCUGCCAAGAUGGAAAAGGCCUCCUUCAAGUAUGUCUGAGUCUUGUAAAAACUGAAAGCUGAAUGUAAGCAUGGUUUCACCAUUGCUAACUCCUGUGGAAACUGGAGACCAGCAAGUAUUAUGUAACCAUCACUGAUGCUCCA
Molecule: long non-coding RNA, 250 nt
Filed under: Homo sapiens (human)
Lineage: Eukaryota; Metazoa; Chordata; Mammalia; Primates; Hominidae
Description: non-protein coding lnc-MTPAP-3:1
Source: RNAcentral